RNAcentral lists this ribosomal RNA (123 nucleotides) under Dasypus novemcinctus (nine-banded armadillo). Lineage: Eukaryota; Metazoa; Chordata; Mammalia; Cingulata; Dasypodidae. The record is from RNAcentral.
CCACACCACCCUGAACGCGCCCGAUCUCAUCUGAUCUUGGAUGCUAAACUGGGUCAUGCCUGGUUAGUACUUGGACGGGAGAUCUAACUCUCUUAAUCUCCCUCUCUGCUAACCAGGACUGGU